GACUUGGGACGCAGCCGGUUCGGGUUGCGUCGCGGCACCG
Molecule: small RNA, 40 nt
Filed under: Sinorhizobium meliloti 2011
Lineage: Bacteria; Pseudomonadati; Pseudomonadota; Alphaproteobacteria; Hyphomicrobiales; Rhizobiaceae
Description: putative ncRNA
Source: RNAcentral